RNAcentral lists this ribosomal RNA (433 nucleotides) under uncultured bacterium. RNAcentral's name for it is "partial 16S ribosomal RNA". It matches the Rfam family "Bacterial small subunit ribosomal RNA", at positions 29 to 507 of the family's 1533-position model. The record is from RNAcentral.
AACGAACGCUGGCGGCAUGCCUAACACAUGCAAGUCGAACGAGACCUUCGGGUCUAGUGGCGCACGGGUGCGUAACGCGUGGGAACCUGCCCUUAGGUUCGGAAUAACUCCCCGAAAGGGGUGCUAAUACCGGAUAAUGUCUUCGGACCAAAGAUUUAUCGCCUUUGGAUGGGCCCGCGUUGGAUUAGCUAGUUGGUAGGGUAAAAGCCUACCAAGGCGACGAUCCAUAGCUGGUCUGAGAGGAUGAUCAGCCACACUGGGACUGAGACACGGCCCAGAAUGCGACGGGAGGGAGCAGUAGGGAAUAUUGGACAAUGGGCGAAAGUCUGACCCAGCAAUGCGGGGUGAGUGAGGAAGGGCGUAGGGUUGUAAAGCUGUUUUAGACGGGAUGAUAAUGACAGUACCGGGAGAAUAAGCACCGGCUAACUACGUG